CUCUCAAAAACCUCCCGUAACUCACUUUUAAUCAUUUUAACACCUUCGGACUUUCCGAAGUAUACCGUCCUCGCACUUUGGUCAAUUUGACUAAAGUUCGACAUUUUAUUUUCCGAAUUUUCGGUAUAUUACAGUCCUCGCUCCACAAUCAAUCGUAGCAAAGUAUCGGACUAACCAAUCCAUACCGAGCACAAUGUCGA
Molecule: long non-coding RNA, 200 nt
Filed under: Ananas comosus (pineapple)
Lineage: Eukaryota; Viridiplantae; Streptophyta; Magnoliopsida; Poales; Bromeliaceae
Description: long non-coding RNA (ACOM_LNC037679)
Source: RNAcentral